RNAcentral lists this ribosomal RNA (447 nucleotides) under uncultured bacterium. RNAcentral's name for it is "partial 16S ribosomal RNA". It matches the Rfam family "Bacterial small subunit ribosomal RNA", at positions 29 to 523 of the family's 1533-position model. The record is from RNAcentral.
AGCGAACGCUGGCGGCAGGCCUAACACAUGCAAGUCGAGCGCCCCGCAAGGGGAGCGGCAGACGGGAGAGUAACACGUGGGAACGUACCCUUCAGUUCGGAACAACCCAGGGAAACUUGGGCUAAUACCGAAUACGUCCGUAAGGAGAAGGAUUUAUCGCUGAAGGAUCGGCCCGCGUCUGAUUAGCUAGUUGGUGAGGUAACGGCUCACCAAGGCGACGAUCAGUAGCUGGUCUGAGAGGAUGAUCAGCCUCACUGGGACUGAGACACGGCCCAGACUCCUACGGGAGGCAGCAGUGGGGAAUAUUGGACAAUGGGCGCAAGCCUGAUCCAGCCAUGCCGCGUGGAUGAUGAAGGCCCUAGGGUUGUAAAGUCCUUUUAACGGGGAAGAUAAUGACGGUACCCGUAGAAUAAGCCCCGGCUAACUUCGUGCCAGCCGCCGCAGUAA